AAACCAUACAUCGGGAAUUUUUGUAGUAAAUCCUUGAAACACUCCCAAGCUUCAUAUAGGCUUUCAUCCUCCAUUUGCUUGAAUGAUGUGAGAUCAUUCCUUGAUUU
Molecule: small nucleolar RNA, 107 nt
Organism: Hibiscus syriacus
Lineage: Eukaryota; Viridiplantae; Streptophyta; Magnoliopsida; Malvales; Malvaceae
Source: RefSeq, a predicted model, not a curated record